This 495-nucleotide ribosomal RNA is filed under the name uncultured bacterium. RNAcentral's name for it is "partial 16S ribosomal RNA". It matches the Rfam family "Bacterial small subunit ribosomal RNA", at positions 28 to 507 of the family's 1533-position model. The record is from RNAcentral.
GACGAACGCUGGCGGCGUGCCUAAUACAUGCAAGUAGAACGCUGAAGGAGGAGCUUGCUUCUCCGGAUGAGUUGCGAACGGGUGAGUAACGCGUAGGUAACCUGCCUGGUAGCGGGGGAUAACUAUUGGAAACGAUAGCUAAUACCGCAUAACAGUAGAUGUUGCAUGACAUUUGCUUAAAAGGUGCAAUUGCAUCACUACCAGAUGGACCUGCGUUGGAUUAGCUAGUUGGUGAGGUAACGGCUCACCAAGGCGACGAUACAUAGCCGACCUGAGAGGGUGAUCGGCCACACUGGGACUGAGACACGGCCCAGACUCCUACGGGAGGCAGCAGUAGGGAAUCUUCGGCAAUGGACGGAAGUCUGACCGAGCAACGCCGCGUGAGUGGAGAAGGUUUUCGGAUCGUAAAGCUCUGUUGUAAGAGAAGAACGAGUGGGGGAGUGGAAAGUGCACACUGUGACGGUAUCUUACCAGAAAGGGACGGCUAACUACGUG